Long non-coding RNA from Cyprinus carpio carpio, 2771 nucleotides. Lineage: Eukaryota; Metazoa; Chordata; Actinopteri; Cypriniformes; Cyprinidae. The record is from Ensembl.
AUGAGUGAAUCGACAGUGAUCCAACUGUCAGUGUCGAUCAAAGGUGGGAGGAUGGCGCUUCGACAUUUAUCCACGGAAGAUUUAAUCACGGAGUUAUUAAAUUUUGGGAUAGAGGUCACUGAAGAGGAAAGAAGUAAAUUCAAAGAUAAUGAAGUUGACGGAGAAGCAGUGGACUAUGGAUUGACUGAGAGGAUGAUUUCAUGCCUCUUUGAAGGAUCGUUUAAGAAGCAAGCCAAAUUCAACCGAUUUGUUCAGCAGUUCUAAACAUACACACAGAUUGGGCGUUAUGUGGAAAACUAUUAAUUCCUCUUUCUUUCUGUCAUCACUAUUACGCCUACUUGGUGAAAUAUAAACAGGACUGGACUGUCCUUGACCCUUUUGAGGUGAUGGAUUUUCAUGCUUUGGAUACAUACUGUGUCGAUGAUAAACUGUUUGUUAGUAUGCGGCAUUUAUGUUAAACUGUGUUGGGAGGGUUGUAGAGCGUUGUGGAUGAGCUCAAAGCUUGUGUUUUUUAAUCCAGAACACAUCAAGUGUAGUUUAUCCGUUAAGUGACUCUUUACUUUGGUGUGGUGUGCUAAAGUGUUUUGCUUGGUCUUUGAUAAUAAACUUAUGUUUUUCUGCACUAUAUUGCUGUUCUUAUUAGUGAUGUUCAUGAAAUUGAAAGAAGGAAAAUAUAAAUGGUUCCAUUGUAUUUAUUCCCUGCUAUGCAUCUAUUCUCUGAUAUCGCUGUUCAUUUUGUUUUUGGAGUGGCAGUAAGUUGUCAGUUGGUCAGUGAAAUGCUUCUUAAAAAAUGUAAUUAAUUAUUUUUAAUGUUUUUUUAUAUCAGACAUGACAUCCUAAACAUUGUGGCAUUUUAUUUUGGGAUGUUACAUUGUAUGGUUGUGAGAUGAAUUAUUAUUGAAUCGGUGAAUUAAACUGUUUUCCAUUUAAGGACUAAAAUAAAUGUCUAAAAUUCAGUUAGUUGUUGUUUGCCUUUAUUUUCUUUCACUCCUUAAGGAAUAAAAAGGAACUUUUUUGCCACCUAAAGGUACAAAAUGGCUUUGUCACUGGGGUGGUACCUUAAUGGGACAAAAUUGUACCUUUUUCCAGAGGUACUUUAUUGUACCUUUGUCUAAGGUACAUUAUUGAUCCUCAAAGGUACAGUAUUGGCCCUUAGAAGGUACAAACAAGUAAGGUACAAAUUUGCUCCUCUGACUCAAGGUACAAUAAUGUACCUUUGAGGGUACCACCCCAGUGACAAGCUUUUGUUCCUUAAAGGUACCGUUUUGUACUUUUUUUUCUGAGAGUGAAUGCACAGCUAUUCAUUUGUAAUGCAGUGGCCAAAUAAAUACUGAAUAAUAAGUUCCUUUUUUUUCUUUUUUUUUUUUUUUCAAAAAUGAAAUGGCAUGUGUCUGCACUUAGUUGUCUUUUGUAAGUAAUAAUGCUAGGGAGACACUGAUGUUAAAAUUCUAGCCGAUAUCGAUAAGCCGAUAAUUAGUGAUAACUGAUUAAUAGAGAGAUAUAAAACAUCAAUGCUAAAUGAAACCACUAAAACUAAAAUCAGUUAUUAGGGAUUUUAAAUGUUGACUUGCAAGAAAUAGUUAAUCCAAAAAAAAGAAGAUUUGCUGAAAAUGUACUCAUUCUCAGGCCAUAUGAGAUUCUUUGGAACAAAAUUGGAUAAAUGUAGCAUUCCAUCACUUGCUCACCAGUAGAUCCUCCGCAGUGAAUGGGUGCCGUCAGAAUGAGAGUCCAAACAGGUGAUAAAAACAUCACAAUAAUCCACAAGCAAUUUUAGUAAUCCACAAACUGUGUUUUUGCAAGACACAGAUCCAUGAUUAAGGCAUUUUAACUUCAAACCGUUGCUUCUGCUUAAAAUAUGAGUCCUAUGUAUAUUAAUAUUGCUUUUCAAGUUAAAGUCAUCCCAUAUAAAUCGGGAGGGAACGCAUCAAUGAUGGAUUUGUUUCUCUAAGACAUUCAACUUUUCACUUCACAAGAGGUUAACUGAUGGACUGGAGUGGUGUGGAUUACUUGUGGAAUAUUGUGAUGUUUUUAUCAGUUGUUUGGCUCUCACUCUGACGGCACCCAUUCACUGCAGAGGAUCCAUUGGUGAGCAAGUGAUGUAAAGCUAAAUUUCUCCAAAUCUCUUGUGAGGAAGAAACAAACACAUCUACAUCUUGGAUGGCCUGAGGCUGAGUACAUUUUCAGCAAAUCUUCAUUUAUAGGUGAACAACUCCUUUAAGAGAGCAUUAGAUGAUGGUGAAGGUAAUCUAAAUGUAUAAAGAUUAAAUGAGUAUUCACAAUUAAAUAUUCAGUAUCUACCAAAACUAGCUGAUAACCAAAGGUAGUGAUAUAUCAUACAUCCCUAAAGAUUGUUCACACAUGAUCCUGUUUUAGGGCUGUGAGAUUAUUUAGUUUGGUGCCUCCUCAUAUACACUAUAAGUGUGUGCCGACUGCAUCAGGUCUGGCUGUGAUGGAUGAGGUGGAUUUAGCUCCCAGUGUUGUGUGGACUAGGCUUGGCUCGAAUGAGCACAAACUUGUGGGAUCAGAAGAGUGGAGUAUAUUCUGCCAGGAGAAGCUAGUCUUGAUGGGAAUCUUAGCUGCCACAGAAAGCAGGACCCCAUCACCUUAAAGCAAAAUCCAGUGUGGGCAACUAUACGCUCACUGCAUAUAAAGUAGGGAAGUGUGAUUGUGAGAAAAGUAACAGUUCUGGCCAGAUGAAAAAAAGAGCUUGUUCAACAUGCAGCUGGCAUGAUUUUCUCUUUCAUUUAUCUAAAAGUUUCCUUUCAUUCAUU